AGCAGCUUGCUGUUUCGCUGACGAGUGGCGGACGGGUGAGUAAUGUCUGGGAAACUGCCUGAUGGAGGGGGAUAACUACUGGAAACGGUAGCUAAUACCGCAUAACGUCGCAAGACCAAAGAGGGGGACCUUCGGGCCUCUUGCCAUCGGAUGUGCCCAGAUGGGAUUAGCUAGUAGGUGGGGUAACGGCUCACCUAGGCGACGAUCCCUAGCUGGUCUGAGAGGAUGACCAGCCACACUGGAACUGAGACACGGUCCAGACUCCUACGGGAGGCAGCAGUGGGGAAUAUUGCACAAUGGGCGCAAGCCUGAUGCAGCCAUGCCGCGUGUAUGAAGAAGGCCUUCGGGUUGUAAAGUACUUUCAGCGGGGAGGAAGGGAGUAAAGUUAAUACCUUUGCUCAUUGACGUUACCCGCAGAAGAAGCACCGGCUAACUCCGUGCCAGCAGCCGCGGUAAUACGGAGGGUGCAAGCGUUAAUCGGAAUUACUGGGCGUAAAGCGCACGCAGGCGGUUUGUUAAGUCAGAUGUGAAAUCCCCGGGCUCAACCUGGGAACUGCAUCUGAUACUGGCAAGCUUGAGUCUCGUAGAGGGGGGUAGAAUUCCAGGUGUAGCGGUGAAAUGCGUAGAGAUCUGGAGGAAUACCGGUGGCGAAGGCGGCCCCCUGGACGAAGACUGACGCUCAGGUGCGAAAGCGUGGGGAGCAAACAGGAUU
RNAcentral lists this ribosomal RNA (712 nucleotides) under Shigella flexneri. Its description in RNAcentral is "bacterial SSU rRNA". It matches the Rfam family "Bacterial small subunit ribosomal RNA", at positions 74 to 779 of the family's 1533-position model. Lineage: Bacteria; Pseudomonadati; Pseudomonadota; Gammaproteobacteria; Enterobacterales; Enterobacteriaceae. The record is from RNAcentral.